RNAcentral lists this ribosomal RNA (301 nucleotides) under uncultured bacterium. RNAcentral's name for it is "partial 16S ribosomal RNA". It matches the Rfam family "Bacterial small subunit ribosomal RNA", at positions 509 to 808 of the family's 1533-position model. The record is from RNAcentral.
CAGUAGCCGGGUAAUACGAAGGGGGCUAGCGUUGCUCGGAAUCACUGGGCGUAAAGGGUGCGUAGGCGGGUCCUUAAGUCAGGGGUGAAAUCCUGGAGCUCAACUCCAGAACCGCCUUUGAUACUGAAGAUCUUGAGUUCGGUAGAGGUGAGUGGAACUGCGAGUGUAGAGGUGAAAUUCGUAGAUAUUCGCAAGAACACCAGUGGCGAAGGCGGCUCACUGGCCCGAUACUGACGCUGAGGCACGAAAGCGUGGGGAGCAAACAGGAUUAGAUACCCCCGUAGUCCCUGUCUCUUAUACA